UUAGCCAUUUUCGUACUCUCUUUCAACCAGAAGUUAGCCAAACAAAUCCAAAGUUCAUUUGAAAAACAUUCUUCUUCCUUUGUUAUUCUUCUUGAAUAAGUGAAUCUGGAAAAACAACUAAGGCCAAAGGCAUCAAGUUCAUCAAAAAACGUCAAUCGCAAGAUAGAGAUCAAGAUCUUUCUUUCCCGGUGAUCGAGAAGAUUUCUCUCAUGGAUUCAGCUUCGGUCUUCGGUCUUCAUGGAACGGCUUCCUCUGUUUUGCGCGUACUCUCCUGACCACCGGAUCUGCUUCCUCUGUUAGGAUUGGAAAAGGAAGCGUCUUCAGUUGUCCGUAACGCAACAUUAACUUCUGAUGCUUUGUUUCUCAAAAAAGAAAACUUAUGAUGCUUUGGGUUCUCGAGAUGGUGGCACUUAUUUAGCUUCAUGGUUCUCAAUAUUCCAAAGGUGA
Brassica oleracea var. oleracea is the source of this 447-nucleotide long non-coding RNA. RefSeq lists it as uncharacterized. The transcript has 2 exons. The record is from RefSeq and is a predicted model, not a curated record. Lineage: Eukaryota; Viridiplantae; Streptophyta; Magnoliopsida; Brassicales; Brassicaceae.